RNAcentral lists this long non-coding RNA (2954 nucleotides) under Salvia miltiorrhiza (redroot sage). RNAcentral's name for it is "long non-coding RNA (SMIL_LNC012092)". Lineage: Eukaryota; Viridiplantae; Streptophyta; Magnoliopsida; Lamiales; Lamiaceae. The record is from RNAcentral.
CAUGAGUGUACACGUUAACCCUAGCUAGCGACCUUUGUCUAGCAUAGGAUCCCAAUUGGAUUUCCUUUAAAGUUGGCGAACCAACACAGAUAGGAUACAUAUAAAAACAUAAACAUUUUUGGCAGUCAACCAUUUCAUAAACAUUUCAUUUCAUAAACAUUUCAUUUUCAUUUCAUAAGAGUCAUUUAUCAUUUUGGCAUAAUAAUAAACUGAAAUUAACAGUUAAAAUCAUCUAUGCAUAUAUUCGUAUAAGAGGCCUACGACACGCAGGGGAUCUCUAUAUACGUAAUAAUAAAAUAAUGCCCACCUCAAACGUUCUUAAGCUAGCGUGGAGUCGCUUCUUCUUCGGCUUCACUUCCUGUCGCCCGGACCUUUAUUGAUGAAGAGUCGGUAAGUUCGUGAAGAAAAUUGUCACAAGACAAAGUCUAAUUCUACGUGCUUAGGGUAUCUUUUAGUGUUUUAGGGUUCUAGCAUCCAUAAUUCAUUUCGAUUAAAACAAUCAAAAACCAACAUAACAUCGACUAACCACAUAAUAUCACGUAACCACAUAACAAACAAAAUAAAAGAAUUCAACAUCCUUAAACUUAAUAUCAUUUAGAAAUUCACAUGUUCACAUAAGAGAUAAUAAUCAUGCACCAUCUUAUAACAUUCUAUACAUUUCAUUUCCAUGUAAAUAAAUACGAAAUUCCAUUAUUCAUUUAUAAAUGACUUAAAUAAGCAUUUUAAACUCCAUUAAAAUGGAAUUGAUUUAAAACAUUUUAAUCCUUUUAAAAUCCAUACUCAUAAAGCCUUAACUCAUGCUCUAUCUCAUAUUCUAUCUCCUUACUCAACUCUAUAUAAACUCUCCACUCAUCUCAAAUCCUUAAGUUCAAGGAUAGGUUUCAAGAAAAUCAUGGUACUAAGUCUCGAUUUAUCUCUCAUAUAAGGCUCGUCUAAUCUCAUUCAAACACAUAGGCAACACAAUCACAUAUAAGGCACAUAAGAAUCACAAUCAAACACCAUCAAAACAUGCUCUGUUUUUACACUGACUCAACUUCAAAAAUUAACCUGUUCUGACUCCGACAUCUCCUGGACUCGAGACUCAUACCAAAAGAAAGAUAUUCGAGUCUAGUUUCAUAUAAAAAAAAGUAGAGUCAAAAACUCCAAGUGGUUUGGGAGAUAUGUCGUUUUUACCACGAUCUACCAUAUUCGGCAGUUUUGAGCAAUCGAAAACUUGGAUUUUUGAAAAAUAGUAAACGUUGUCAAAUUGGGCUUAAAUUUGGUGGAUAUCUAGCUAACACAAUAAGGUUAAUACCAUAAAAAUUUGGAAAGCUAUAUCACACAGUAAGCUACUUAAAAUAAUGACUCUUUACCCUGUUCUCUGAAAUUCUCGGUAGUAAAGUGCAGUUUAGGUUUUAUAUUUUAAAGAAAUAUCAAACGAAGUUGGAAUGGCUUGAAAUUUUACCAGUGUGCUCAACACUCUCAAAUAUACUUACCAUAAAAUUUUCAUGGCUUUUGGAUAUCAAAAUCGCGUCGAAAACAGUAGGUCAGUAGCCUUUAAAAAGGUUCUCAAAUUAACUCCCAAACUUGAGCAUAAAGCAAAUAUACCUAAAUUCCGGACUUCUUCGAUGAAAAAAUUCUCAAAAAUUCAAAUUAAGCUCAUAUAAAUCACAAUAACAUAAAUACAUGAUCAUAUAACUCAAGAAAAUUCAAACAUCGACUUCCCCUUUUUCUCCUUACAUUCGGCCAACACAUAAGUCAUUAGGAGUUGGUCCGUUUCGUCUCAUAUCGCAUAUACAAGCUCAAUUUAUCAUCAAAUAGCCAUAUAUAAACAUGCUCGACUCAUAACUCAUCUUAUAUACAAGAUCUCAUGUAUGCACGCAAACUAAACUCGAGAAAUUUUCACAAAUCAACAUCAUUAACCAAAUUAAUCAUGCUUUCUCCUUGCUAGUAGUCUAACUAACAUAUAAACAUCAUCAAUUCAAGUAUUUAUCUCAUUAAUCAAAAGUCCCCAAUUAUUAGCAAACUAACUUAACCAAUUUAGGCAUUCUUGACAAUUAACCAAAUUGAUCCCUAAUUAUCAUUUCUAUCAUGCUUAAUAACAAUUAAACUUAGCCAAUUUAAUCAAUUAACACAUAGAUCACAAAGUCCCAAUUUUUAACAAACUAAACUUUUUGAAAAUCUACAAACAUACAUAAAUCAUUAAUCCAACCUUAGAUUAAUCAAAUUGGCACACUUAAUAGCAUAAAUAAGCAAUCAAUUAGUAAAUUAAACCAUAGAAUCAAUUUUACCCAAAUUACAUCAAACUAACUCAUAUCAAAAAUUACUAAUCAAUUUCAACCAUCAAUCCAAUCCAUCAAAUCUCAUAUAAACACUCUCAAUAGCAUAUAUCAUCCAUCAAUUCAUCAAUCAACCUCAAAUCCAAAACUUCCCAAAUUUAGCAAACUAAACUCUUUGAAAAUUCAAAAUCCUUUCUAAUCCUUUUAAAAACUCAUGGAUAUCAACUCAAUAGGUUCUCAAUUACAUAAUUAUUGCCUCGAUUUAAGAAAAGAAAGUGAAAAUAUUUGAAGGGUAAAAAUACCCCCAAUUUUCGAAAAUUAGAGAAAUGAUGGAGGGGUUUGAUUUUCUUGUUUUCUUCCAUCAAAACAUCAAGAAAUGGAGGUAGAUUUAAGGAAUCUUAAGGUUGAUCCACUUACCCUCAAUAUUUAAGAAAAUGGCGAACUCUUUGAUCCACUUGGGUUUGGAAACUCUAGCUUGAUCAUUCUCUUGAUUCUUGGUGAUUGAAGGCUAGUUCUAGGAGUGGUGAUGGUGGAUCUAUGUGUUUAGAAGCUUUGGAGUGUUCUUCCAUGAUGGAUUGAAAAGAAAAUAGUGAGAGUAGAGAGGGAGAGAGAGAUGGACGAAAAUGAGAGGGGAGGAAGAGAGAGGAAAUGCUUUUGUUUAAUGCUAAACUUGGUCACUAAGUUUCCUAAGUAAUU